UACGUAGGGGGCGAGCGUUGUCCGGAAUCAUUGGGCGUAAAGCGCGUGUAGGCGGCUCGGUAAGUCUGCUGUGAAAGUCCAGGGCUCAACCCUGGGAUGCCGGUGGAUACUGUCGAGCUCGAGUCCGGAAGAGGCGAGUGGAAUUCCUGGUGUAGCGGUGAAAUGCGCAGAUAUCAGGAGGAACACCAAUGGCGAAGGCAGCUCGCUGGGACGUGACUGACGCUGAGGAGCGAAAGCAUGGGGAGCGAACAGG
RNAcentral lists this ribosomal RNA (253 nucleotides) under uncultured bacterium. Its description in RNAcentral is "partial 16S ribosomal RNA". It matches the Rfam family "Bacterial small subunit ribosomal RNA", at positions 524 to 776 of the family's 1533-position model. The record is from RNAcentral.